This 574-nucleotide unclassified non-coding RNA is filed under the name Leishmania donovani. RNAcentral describes it as "gene:unknown". Lineage: Eukaryota; Euglenozoa; Kinetoplastea; Trypanosomatida; Trypanosomatidae. The record is from RNAcentral.
AAAAGGUCGUUGGCUCGUGUGCGUUUGUGUGCUUGUGGCACUGUUGGCGAUCCAGUGAGUGCGCAUGAGGUCUCUAUACGAAUUUCUGUCUGUGCCUGCCUUGGGUUGAGGUGGCGCUUUUUUCCUUUUCUUCUUCUUUAGCGUGUGCAGCUCUCCACUGUGGGCGGAGGUGCUCGACGCAGCCAGGGCAGACAAGGGAGACGACAAAGGAAAGACCGGCGUCGGGAAUUGGAGCACACCAGCACACACUUUCAACGGGCUGCAUGAAUGCAACAAAAUCACCAUGCGUUGAGCGACACUUGUUGCCCUCUACCAUACAUUCACUCUCUCUCAAACCCACCGACACACACACACACACACACAAAGCCCUCACCCCCGUCGCUUACCGAUCCGCUCGUUCAUGUUUGCCUUCAUUGUUUCGCCACAAGGCCGCGCGAUUACUACGUGCGCAUGCAGCUUUUGCGACAGCGGCUUAAGGCGGAAACGCUCCUCCUCAUCGUCCUCGGUGAACUUGCUUCCCUCCCGCCGCCUCCCUUCUGCGCCGUUUCUUUUUCACACGUCUGCAUCUCGCUAG